AGCGAACGCUGGCGGCAGGCCUAACACAUGCAAGUCGAACGAACUCUUCGGAGUUAGUGGCGGACGGGUGAGUAACACGUGGGAACGUGCCUUUAGGUUCGGAAUAACUCAGGGAAACUUGUGCUAAUACCGAAUGUGCCCUUCGGGGGAAAGAUUUAUCGCCUUUAGAGCGGCCCGCGUCUGAUUAGCUAGUUGGUGAGGUAAAGGCUCACCAAGGCGACGAUCAGUAGCUGGUCUGAGAGGAGGAUCAGCCACAUUGGGACUGAGACACGGCCCAAACUCCUACGGGAGGCAGCAGUGGGGAAUCUUGCGCAAUGGGCGAAAGCCUGACGCAGCCAUGCCGCGUGAAUGAUGAAGGUCUUAGGAUUGUAAAAUUCUUUCACCGGGGACGAUAAUGACGGUACCCGGAGAAGAAGCCCCGGCUAACUUCGUG
This 433-nucleotide ribosomal RNA is filed under the name uncultured bacterium. Its description in RNAcentral is "partial 16S ribosomal RNA". It matches the Rfam family "Bacterial small subunit ribosomal RNA", at positions 29 to 507 of the family's 1533-position model. The record is from RNAcentral.